Molecule: ribosomal RNA, 429 nt
Filed under: bacterium
Lineage: Bacteria
Description: partial 16S ribosomal RNA
Rfam family: Bacterial small subunit ribosomal RNA
Source: RNAcentral
UAGGGAAUCUUCGGCAAUGGGGGCAACCCUGACCGAGCAACGCCGCGUGAGUGAAGAAGGUUUUCGGAUCGUAAAGCUCUGUUGUAAGAGAAGAACGUGUGUGAGAGUGGAAAGUUCACACAGUGACGGUAACUUACCAGAAAGGGACGGCUAACUACGUGCCAGCAGCCGCGGUAAUACGUAGGUCCCGAGCGUUGUCCGGAUUUAUUGGGCGUAAAGCGAGCGCAGGCGGUUUAAUAAGUCUGAAGUUAAAGGCAGUGGCUUAACCAUUGUUCGCUUUGGAAACUGUUAAACUUGAGUGCAGAAGGGGAGUGUGGAAUUCCAUGUGUAGCGGUGAAAUGCGUAGAUAUAUGGAGGAACACCGGUGGCGAAAGCGGCUCUCUGGUCUGUAACUGACGCUGAGGCUCGAAAGCGUGGGGAGCAAACAGG